AGGGAUUUUAGGAGAGGAUAAAAUGCCUUAAAACGUCUCCCUCCUUCGAGUUCCGUCUGGAGAGGUGUUAUUUUGAAAUUCCACAACGCCAAGAACGACGACUACGCAACGGGCUUGAUUUCUCGCUCUCUCUUCUUCCUGCAUCGCUGAUCUCCAGAUUCCCACCACAUUGGAAUGGAUAAGAAGCAAAAGGGUAUGAAAAAGGAAGAUGAUGGAGGCAAAUACUUGCAUUGGAGAGCAAAUACCUGAUUUAGAAGAAGACCUUCGUUGGAGAGCAAUUGAAGUGUUUGCUAAAAAUGCGACAAAUUAUUUUAAAAAAAUUACUCAAACAAGUCAUUUAAAUAGUCCACUACUUAUGUCCCUUCAUUUUAAGAUCCCAUCACCUUGAAAUUUCUUGGAACCUCCAAAUCCCCUACCCAAACACUACCUAAGGAACUCCAACAGUGGGAGUGCCACAUCCAUAAACGUGGCUAAAAUAUUUUUUGAAUAAUUUGAUUGUUUUUCAUGUAUGCCGACAUGUUUUUGUAAAUUCAUUUAUUCUAAAUUUUUUAUAAAAUAAAGGGUUUUUGUCCAU
Long non-coding RNA from Rosa chinensis, 574 nucleotides. RefSeq lists it as uncharacterized. The transcript is spliced from 2 exons. The record is from RefSeq and is a predicted model, not a curated record. NCBI's taxonomy places the organism in Eukaryota, Viridiplantae, Streptophyta, Magnoliopsida, Rosales, Rosaceae.